CUGGUUACAUCAGAAGAGCUACAAAGGAGGUGCUCUCCACCAGAAAGUUACUCUGCAAAUACAGUAGUGGCCUAUCUAAGGAAAGCCAAAGGACAAAAAAGGAAAACUGCUGAGAGGUUGGCAGAGCUAGAUGUGAUGCCCUCAACACAAACAAAACUCACUUCGCAGUGCUCCAAACUAUGUGAAGAUGAAUGCAGUGAUCUGGCUGAUGAUAUAAUGUACCUAGCAGCCAAGACCAUCCCCCAGAAAAGAGUGGCUCAAGCCUUGCCGGAAGAAGGGAAUGUCCAUGCAGCCUUGGCCAGAACAGAAGACUGCAUGAAGACAUUAAAAGCUGUGGAGAAUGCUUUAGAGGCUCACUGGGAGACAUUUAACCUGGCAACACAUGGUCUUGGACCUGCUGUUAUAAAGGGCACUAUUUCAUUAAUUGACUCA
Long non-coding RNA from Danio aesculapii, 432 nucleotides. RefSeq lists it as uncharacterized. The transcript is spliced from 3 exons. The record is from RefSeq and is a predicted model, not a curated record. Lineage: Eukaryota; Metazoa; Chordata; Actinopteri; Cypriniformes; Danionidae.